UCCGAAGGGGGCUAUCGUUGCUCGGAAUUACUGGGCGUAAAGGGCGCGUAGGCGGACCUGUCAGUCAGGCGUGAAAGCCCAGGGCUCAACCCUGGAACUGCGCUUGAUACUGCGGGUCUAGAGUGCCGGAGAGGAUGGUGGAAUUCCCAGUGUAGAGGUGAAAUUCGUAGAUAUUGGGAAGAACACCGGUGGCGAAGGCGGCCAUCUGGACGGCAACUGACGCUGAGGCGCGAAAGCGUGGGGAGAAAACAGG
RNAcentral lists this ribosomal RNA (253 nucleotides) under uncultured bacterium. Its description in RNAcentral is "partial 16S ribosomal RNA". It matches the Rfam family "Bacterial small subunit ribosomal RNA", at positions 524 to 776 of the family's 1533-position model. The record is from RNAcentral.